RNAcentral lists this ribosomal RNA (506 nucleotides) under uncultured bacterium. RNAcentral's name for it is "partial 16S ribosomal RNA". It matches the Rfam family "Bacterial small subunit ribosomal RNA", at positions 29 to 523 of the family's 1533-position model. The record is from RNAcentral.
AGUGAACGCUGGCGGUAGGCCUAACACAUGCAAGUCGAACGGCAGCACAGGAGAGCUUGCUCUCUGGGUGGCGAGUGGCGGACGGGUGAGGAAUACAUCGGAAUCUACUCUGUCGUGGGGGAUAACGUAGGGAAACUUACGCUAAUACCGCAUACGACCUACGGGUGAAAGCAGGGGAUCUUCGGACCUUGCGCGAUUGAAUGAGCCGAUGUCGGAUUAGCUAGUUGGCGGGGUAAAGGCCCACCAAGGCGACGAUGCGUAGCUGGUCUGAGAGGAUGAUCAGCCACACUGGGACUGAGACACGGUCCAGACUCCUACGGGAGGCAGCAGUGGGGAAUAUUGGACAAUGGGCGCAAGCCUGAUCCAGCCAUACCGCGUGGGUGGGGAAGGCCUUCGGGUUGUAAAGCCCUUUUGUUGGGAAAGAAAUCCAGCUGGCUAAUACCCGGUUGGGAUGACGGUACCCAAAGAAUAAGCACCGGCUAACUUCGUGCCAGCAGCCGCGGUAA